RNAcentral lists this ribosomal RNA (397 nucleotides) under uncultured bacterium. RNAcentral's name for it is "partial 16S ribosomal RNA". It matches the Rfam family "Bacterial small subunit ribosomal RNA", at positions 523 to 918 of the family's 1533-position model. The record is from RNAcentral.
AUACGUAGGGGGCGAGCGUUGUCCGGAAUGAUUGGGCGUAAAGGGCGCGUAGGCGGCCCGGUAAGUCUGGAGUGAAAGUCCUGUUUUUAAGCUGGGAAUUGCUUUGGAUACUGUCGGGCUUGAGUGCAGGAGAGGUAAGUGGAAUUCCCAGUGUAGCGGUGAAAUGCGUAGAGAUUGGGAGGAACACCAGUGGCGAAGGCGACGUACUGGACUGUAACUGACGCUGAGGCGCGAAAGUGUGGGGAGCAAACAGGACUAGAUACCCUGGUAGUCCACACUGUAAACGAUGAAUGCUAGGUGUAGGGGGUAUCGACCCCUUCUGUGCCGCAGUCAACACAAUAAGCAUUCCGCCUGGGGAGUACGGCCGCAAGGUUGAAACUCAAAUGAAUUGACGGGG